CAGCAGUAGCCACGGGAAUACGGAGGGGGCUAGCGUUGUUCGGAAUUACUGGGCGUAAAGCGCACGUAGGCGGACCGGAAAGUCAGAGGUGAAAUCCCAGGGCUCAACCUUGGAACUGCCUUUGAAACUCCUGGUCUUGAGGUCGAGAGAGGUGAGUGGAAUUCCGAGUGUAGAGGUGAAAUUCGUAGGUAUUCGGAGGAACACCAGUGGCGAAGGCGGCUCACUGGCUCGAUACUGACGCUGAGGUGCGAAAGCGUGGGGAGCAAACAGGAUUAGAGACCCCUGUAGUCCCUGUCUCUUAUAC
Molecule: ribosomal RNA, 304 nt
Filed under: uncultured bacterium
Lineage: Bacteria
Description: partial 16S ribosomal RNA
Rfam family: Bacterial small subunit ribosomal RNA
Source: RNAcentral